UUUCCGUAGGUGAACCUGCGGAAGGAUCAUUGUCGAAACCUGCCUAGCAGAACGACCCGAGAACGUGUUUCAACGCUUGGAGACGGGGGGCCUCGCGGCUCCUCGCCUCCUCAUCCCGGGAAGGGAAGCCUCGCGUGUCGUGCUUCGGCGCUUCCGCUUGGCCGACCUCUCCGGGCGUACUGAACAUCGGCGUGAAUUGCGCCAAGGAACUUGAAUGAAAGAGCGUCCCCCCGCCGUCCCCGGAGACGGAGACUGCGCGGGUGGUUCGUCGUCUUCAAUAUGUCUAAACGACUCUCGGCAACGGAUAUCUCGGCUCUC
Molecule: unclassified non-coding RNA, 318 nt
Filed under: soil metagenome
Description: partial contains small subunit ribosomal RNA, internal transcribed spacer 1, and 5.8S ribosomal RNA
Source: RNAcentral